CGAGACGUAGCAUAAUUGGUUAAUGCCUCCGGUUGUGACCCGGGGAAAUGCGGAUUCGAAUUCCGUCGUCUCGA
This 74-nucleotide transfer RNA is filed under the name Synechococcus phage S-CBWM1. It matches the Rfam family "tRNA". From Rfam's summary of the family: Transfer RNA (tRNA) molecules are approximately 80 nucleotides in length. Their secondary structure includes four short double-helical elements and three loops (D, anti-codon, and T loops). Lineage: Duplodnaviria; Heunggongvirae; Uroviricota; Caudoviricetes. The record is from Rfam by way of RNAcentral.